GCAAAAAAGUUUUCAAUUUGAGGGCAGAUAAAGAAUAUUUUCAAGCAUUUGUAGGAAUUUAUAUUUCAUUUCUUACUUUUGUAUUGUAAGUUUGAUUAGAAAGGAUAUUGAGAUAUAACUUGUAGGGAAUAAGACAUUAUGGGGUUAGUUUCCUUUUUUUGAGCAUGCAUGGUCUUGUUAUCCCAGGGGCUAGGAUUUAGCAUGUCGUUUAACUUGUGCAAUGAAUGGGGUGCCUAGGGCUGCCCAAAUCCUUGGUACCUUUCACAAUUAGCAAAUCUGAGUUGUGCCAAAUUUUGGCUGCACUCAAUCAAAGUGUUCUGUUCGUGG
Molecule: long non-coding RNA, 327 nt
Filed under: Capsicum annuum
Lineage: Eukaryota; Viridiplantae; Streptophyta; Magnoliopsida; Solanales; Solanaceae
Description: long non-coding RNA (CANN_LNC017040)
Source: RNAcentral